CCCAGAGUACACCUUUCUAUCUGUGUCUAAGCAGAGAUGUUGAGCUUAAUUUCUACAGGUGUACUCAGAUCCCACUGCCCUAUCCACUUAGACUUUAGCUGCUCUUCCUUUCUCCUUACCAGCAGGAGAGAUAUUGUAAAAAUUUGAUAAACUAGAGUAGCAUGAGAAGUAUUCGGAUUCAGAGGAUCUAUCUCUUGCUUCACAGACCGUGUUGUUGUUCUCCAAAGAGUGCCCAAAUUGAGGAUUACAUUUGUUGAAGUUUGAGAUUCCUAGAAAAUGGAACAAAAGUCAUAAAAACAGCAUGUUCCAUUCUCCUACACUCUUCUCCCCAACCUACUCCACUCUGCCCCAGCCCCAUGGAAAGACUUAUUUUGUUCUGAACACUUAUCUUUAGCUUCGGCAGACAAUUGGCAUGUUUCAGUAUUCUGUGCUUCUAUCUGGAUCUCGCCAUCAAGGUUGCUCAUACUUACAAACCUUGGUGAAGAUUUUUGGUACCCUUUGCCUUCCUCUACAUCUUUCACCCUUUUCUCCCCUGUAUCCCACCUCUGAGAUUCACAAUCUCUAAUUCAGAGGAAACAAUUGGUAAAUUUUUAUUUUUGAAGAAAUAAACUAUCGAUUAUAAUUAUGUCACUGUCCCUGUCUCAAGGUUAACCAGGCUCAUGGCUCAUUAUUUAACUGUUUAAGAUUAUCGUCAUGUCUCAUGAAUGCUUCUGGUAGAUGUAUUAUGCACAUUUGCAGAAAAAUGGUAUAGUGAAUGUGAUGUGCUUCACAUGUGUAAACUCAUAACAUGUUGGUUAAAACUAGGUUAGGGUUAAUGUGUGAUUCUUUUGGUUUGGAAAUCUGAAUAUGGAGUGAGUUGUGUUUGAAUGAGGAUGGUAUGUGUUCUUUGUGUCUGUGUGUUAGUUCAGCACAUACCUAUGUGUCUAGAUUACAUGUCUUAUAUUUAUAGAUUUGUGUGUUUUACAUAUUUUAAUGUGGUUUAGAUGUGCAAUGUUAUUAUUGUAAAUACUCGCUUUGAGACUAGUCAAAUUAGUUUGUUUGUAAAAUAUAAGGGAAUAAUGAGAGAACACAAAGAUGUGAAAAAUCAAAGGAUGUAAGACAAAGAAUACAUGAGCUUUCAGAAUACGGAACUUUGCGAAGAGCCAAAUAAAUGAAGAAUGUGUAUGGCCAAGUGUAUAGUAACAUACAAGUAGAAAACUGCAUCAGAUGAAACAAGUAUGAAUGAUUGAGUUCUGAAGGGGUCAAGAGAUAGAAUAU
RNAcentral lists this long non-coding RNA (1257 nucleotides) under Equus caballus (horse). RNAcentral's name for it is "lncRNA (ENSECAG00000048557.1)". The record is from RNAcentral. Lineage: Eukaryota; Metazoa; Chordata; Mammalia; Perissodactyla; Equidae.